This 207-nucleotide long non-coding RNA is filed under the name Elaeis guineensis (African oil palm). Its description in RNAcentral is "long non-coding RNA (EGUI_LNC059219)". Lineage: Eukaryota; Viridiplantae; Streptophyta; Magnoliopsida; Arecales; Arecaceae. The record is from RNAcentral.
AUAGAUUCAUUACUCAGAGAUUUUUAUCAAGUGAAGAAGGGGUAUGUACUAAGUAUGAAAAUGGAAAUGCCUCAGGUUGGUAAUAGGCUGUAGGCCUGUAGUAGAAUGUAUGCCUAUAAUGGCAUUAGGAGGGAAACAAAGAAUGAGACUAUUCACCAAAAAAUCCUUAUGCCAUUUUAAGGCUUAGAACCACUUUUCAUAGGACUC